This 468-nucleotide ribosomal RNA is filed under the name uncultured bacterium. Its description in RNAcentral is "partial 16S ribosomal RNA". It matches the Rfam family "Bacterial small subunit ribosomal RNA", at positions 28 to 507 of the family's 1533-position model. The record is from RNAcentral.
GACGAACGCUGGCGGCGUGCUUAACACAUGCAAGUCGAACGGAAAGGCCCUGCUUUUGUGGGGUGCUCGAGUGGCGAACGGGUGAGUAACACGUGAGUAACCUGCCCUUGACUUUGGGAUAACUUCAGGAAACUGGGGCUAAUACCGGAUAGGAGCUCCUGCUGCAUGGUGGGGGUUGGAAAGUUUCGGCGGUUGGGGAUGGACUCGCGGCUUAUCAGCUUGUUGGUGGGGUAGUGGCUUACCAAGGCUUUGACGGGUAGCCGGCCUGAGAGGGUGACCGGCCACAUUGGGACUGAGAUACGGCCCAGACUCCUACGGGAGGCAGCAGUGGGGAAUAUUGCAAAAUGGGCGGAAGCCGGAUGCAGCAACGCCGCGUGCGGGAUGACGGCCUUAGGGUUGUAAACCGCUUUCGCCUGUGACGAAGCGUGAGUGACGGUAAUGGGUAAAGAAGCACCGGCUAACUACGUG